This 794-nucleotide non-coding RNA is filed under the name Iragoides fasciata. The record is from RNAcentral. Lineage: Eukaryota; Metazoa; Arthropoda; Insecta; Lepidoptera; Limacodidae.
UAAAAAUUAUUUAUGGUUUUUUAAUUUAUUGUUUAUUUAUUUUAUAUAUAAAUUUUAGUAGUUAUUUUUAUUUAAAAAAUAAAAAUAAAAAUUUAUUUAAAUAAGAAUUGUAGUAAAUAUUAUUAAAAAUUUAAGAAAUUAAGAUUUAGUAAUAUAAAAAUUUAUAACAAAUUUUGUGCCAGCAGUUGCGGUUAAACAAAAAUUAAAUUAAAUUUUAUUAAUAAUAAUAAAUAAAAAAAAAUGUUUGUAAAUAUUAAAUUAUAAAGUGAAAUUUUUAUUUUAAUUAAAUAAAUUAUUUUUAUGUUUUUAAUAAAUUUUAAUAAUAAACUAGGAUUAGAUACCCUAUUAUUUAAAAUUUAAAUUUUAAAAUAUUAAAAUAGUAGAUAAAUUAAUAUUGAAACUUAAAUAAUUUGGCGGUAUUUUAGUUUAUUUAGAGGAAUCUGUUUAGUAAUUGAUAAUCCACGAAUAAAUUUACUUAAUUUAUAAAAUUUUUGUAUAUCGUUGUUAGAAAAAUAUUUUUUAAUAAAAUUAAUAUUUAAAAAUUAAAAAUUAAAAAUUAAAUCAGAUCAAGAUGCAGAUUAUAGUUAAGAUAAUUAAAAUGGAUUACAAUAAAUUUAUUUAAAUUGAAUAAUAAUUUGAAAUAAAUUAUUUGAAAUUGGAUUUAAAUGUAAUUUUAUUUAAUUUAAUAAAAUGAUUUAUAUUUAAAAUAUGUACAUAUUGCCCGUCGCUUUCAUUAACUAAAUUGAAAUAAGUCGUAACAAAGUAGAAGUACUGGAAAGUGUUUCUAGAAAGAA